AGAAUGAACGUUGGCGGCGUGGAUUAGGCAUGCAAGUCGGACGGGCCGCAAGGCCAGUGGCGUAAGGGUGAGUAAGGCGACGGCAAUCAUCCCCACGGUUGGGUAUAGCCGCGAGAAAUCGCGGGUAAUCCCCAGCGACGCGAGGUGUCGGCAUCGACCGCCCCGCCAAAGGCUCGCCGCCGUGGGACGAGCCGUCGUGGUAUUAGGUCGUUGGCGGGGUAACGCCACCAAGCCUGCGAUGCCUACCGGUGUGCGAGCAUCGGCCCGGCACA
RNAcentral lists this ribosomal RNA (272 nucleotides) under uncultured soil bacterium. RNAcentral's name for it is "partial 16S ribosomal RNA". It matches the Rfam family "Bacterial small subunit ribosomal RNA", at positions 26 to 312 of the family's 1533-position model. The record is from RNAcentral.